UUCAUUAGCCCCUUUUCCCCUUCCUGAACGGCGACAACAAACCAACUCCACCCACGAACCAUAGACGACGACCCAUUGCCCCGGCGCACUCUACUCCCCGCGGCGCCGCCGCCACAGCCGCCGCCGUCGAAAGAAGGAGAGAGAUGGAACGAGAGAGAUGGGAAAGAGAGGAGGGGUUCGUUCAUCCUCAGGGCGGAGUAGAAACGUUCUGCUCCGUCGUCUGGAAUCUUCCUUUAAGAACGGCAACUAUGGAACCCUCGACCAAAUCAUCAACCGUCUCCGUUCGAACUACCCCGACUACGCCCGAACAAAGCAACAAGUCCUCGCCGGGCAGGACCAACGUGCCCUUGAAGAAUCUAAACACUUCCUAAACAACAACAAUAACAAGCAUAAGAGGAACAAAUCCCACUCUCCUUCUCAAACCCUAGUAUGCGCCGCCGAUGAUGAUGAAGAAGAAGAUGAUGAUGAUUGCCAAUUCCGAAGCCCCACUCCGAAGAAGCUGAAGAAGAUUGAUGAGUGAACAAAGAUUGAUAUAUAGAGAGGCUCAGCAUCAUCGAAGGCGGCAUAUGGAGCAGGAACGUCCGUCGACGGCUACUACGUCGUCUUUAUCAUCGUCCUCUUCUGACGAUGAAACGGAUGGUGCCGUAUCGACGUAGGAGGACGCGACAUAUGGCGAGAGACUGGAGCCGGAGUUCGAUUUGAUGAGGUCAAUGCUGCGCUCGAGUUAUAGCAAAGCAAAGCCUGCGGUGGAAUCGAAGCCGGAGGAGAAGAAUCUUGAGAUGGAGGAGGUUGCUCAGAAGGCCAAGAAGAUCAAUUCGGUUGAAGGAGAGAGAAUUGAAGGAAUUGGGACGGAUUCGAAACCAGAAGUGAAGGGUUCCGGCGUUGGAGGCAAUGGUGUUGGUGGCGGUGGUGAGGUGAAGGGGAAGGACGAGCCAAUGUUUAGGGAUUUGGGUGGAAUGGGAGGGGUGGUGGAGGAGUUGACAAUGAAUGUUGUUGUUCCGUUGUACCAUCCGCGACUACCUCAGUGUCUUGGAGUAAGGCCGCCAGUGGGGAUUUUUUUGCACGGUCCACCUGGGUGUGGAAAGACGAAGCUGGCUCAUGCCAUUGCCAAUGAGACUGGAUUUCCAUUUUAUAAGAUUUCAGCUACUGAAGUGGUCUCUGGUGUUUCAGAGACGCUUUGCUAAAUUUUAAUAUCAUUUUGUGAUAAAAAUUUCAGGUGGAUUUGAAGAGAAUAUUCGAGAGCUUUUCUCAAAAGCUUACAGGACUGCUCCUUCAAUUGUAUUUAUUGAUGAGAUUGAUGCAAUUGCUUCAAAAAGAGAAAAUCUACAGAGGGAGAUGGAACGACGCAUAAUGACAACUAAUGACCUGCAUGGAGGAAUCACACAGACUUGUACAACCAGCUGAUAAAGAUUUGAAUUCAGAAAGCUCUCAUCACGGACCUGGUUAUGUACUUGUGAUUGGAGCUACCAAUAGAAUCGAUGCUGUUGAUUGUGCAUUAAGGAGGCCAGGAAGAUUUGAUCUUGAGAUUCUGUUGGGAUUUGUUCUUAGCUUGUUUCUUCGUUGUAUAGCAACUGGAAAACUGAAGUGAUACCAAACAGCCCCUUUUUGUUGGACAUUCCUCCUGGCAGAGAAAAGCCCUUUUUGAAGUACAUUCAAUGUUGCUAUGGUCACAGUUUUGAAGAAUGUUACCAAUGUGAUAACUGCACUCGGCGAAAUGUAUAUAUUCAAUAAGCACCAUGACAACAAAGUUUGGACUGCUUUGUUCUUAAUGGUUGUAGAAGUCAUUCAAAUUUCAGUUAGACGAAUGACCAAGUGGAGCCAUCUCCCCAGGGACAAAGUCAAUACAUUUCUUAUGCAGCAUCUGGCCAAGACUCGGGACCCUCUUACUUUGCAAAUCAGCCUCCUCCAAUGCGAAGAAGGGAAAUGGAAUAUUCCAUAUAGUAGCUAACCAUUAGCUUGCAACAGUUCAUAGCAAGCCAAAAUGUGAUCAAUUCUAAAACUUCUUAAGCCAUCAACAAGAUAAGCACCGAAUUGACUAGGCUGAACACAUUAUUGAAUGCUUUGGUGAUAGAUGAAUCCCAAUUUCAAGUCCAGCCAGAUACUCAAGUGCAGAUUACAAUCAUGGAACCGUCAUCCUAUAUUGAAGCAAAUGUCAAUGAUUGUAAUGCCGAAGCAAAUCUCAGCUAUGGUAGGGUGACUGGUGCACUAGAUGAAGAAGUUGAGCAGAAUGGUGAGACUUUAACCUUCAAGGAACUAGGGACAAAUUUUAAUGUUGAUGUUUCUGAAGAACCAAAGAUAACAAAGCUGAUGCAUUAUGGCGACUCAAAUUUGGAGAUUCGCUGGUUCAAUUUAUAAAUCUGCACCCACCGGACGAAAUUCCUCCUGAGCCUCCUCCAGACACACUAUGAUGUUUUGCUUUCCUUUGUUUUCAUUUUGUUUCAUUAUGUCUUAUUUUUAGUUUAUUGAUAGGUACAAUUUCCUUGAGUUCAGUUUUCUUUUUCCAUUA
RNA transcript from Malania oleifera, 2506 nucleotides. It is a transcript of the gene named cell division control protein 48 homolog C-like, with no coding region annotated. The transcript has 5 exons. NCBI's taxonomy places the organism in Eukaryota, Viridiplantae, Streptophyta, Magnoliopsida, Santalales, Ximeniaceae. The record is from RefSeq and is a predicted model, not a curated record.